CAUCGGAAAGGAUGCUGUGAUUCAUGGAUUGGAUCAGGACACAUCUGGAUGAUGCUGCAGGGACGGUCUUCAGGAUGAAGAUAAAGGGACCUCUCAGGAAGAGAUAAGGGACACCUCCAGGACGGAGAUCGUGAGCUAUCAGUAAGAUAGCGAGCUGGGAUGCUCAGGGAGUAUCACCAUAGACGGUGAAAUGUAGGAAACAAUCAGGGACAAAGUUAUCAAGGAUGAGCAGGGAGCAUUAAUGUAGCUGGAUUGCUGCGAACGAAUUGGGGGCACUGUUAUUACAGUGCCCCCUUUUUUCGUU
RNAcentral lists this non-coding RNA (304 nucleotides) under Erwinia tracheiphila. The record is from RNAcentral. Lineage: Bacteria; Pseudomonadati; Pseudomonadota; Gammaproteobacteria; Enterobacterales; Erwiniaceae.